CCUUCUGAAAGGGAGAUUAAUACAAGAUGUUAUCAUGAGUAAGCAUUUUCGCAUGAUUAAAGGUUUACCGGUGUAAGAUGGGGAUGCGUUCCAUUAGAUAGUAGGCGGGGUAACGGCCCACCUAGUCUUCGAUGGAUAGGGGUUCUGAGAGGAAGGUCCCCCCACAUUGGAACUGAGACACGGUCCAAACUCCUACGGGAGGCAGCAGUGAGGAAUAUUGGUCAAUGGACGAGAGUCUGAACCAGCCAAGUAGCGUGAAGGAUGAAGGUCCUACGGAUUGUAAACUUCUUUUAUAAGGGAAUAAACCCUCCCACGUGUGGGAGCUUGUAUGUACCUUAUGAAUAAGCAUCGGCUAACUCCGUG
This 363-nucleotide ribosomal RNA is filed under the name uncultured bacterium. Its description in RNAcentral is "bacterial SSU rRNA". It matches the Rfam family "Bacterial small subunit ribosomal RNA", at positions 147 to 507 of the family's 1533-position model. The record is from RNAcentral.